This 124-nucleotide long non-coding RNA is filed under the name Taeniopygia guttata (zebra finch). Its description in RNAcentral is "lncRNA (ENSTGUG00000023838.1)". The record is from RNAcentral. Lineage: Eukaryota; Metazoa; Chordata; Aves; Passeriformes; Estrildidae.
UACAUGCAAAGAUUAUGGGGAAGAAAAAGAAUAAAAAUUGCCAGACGGAACCUCAUGUACUUAGUCAGCAAUGAAGUCGAACGUGUCAUGUGCUUUUGAUGACAGCUGUCCUCUAGAAGACAGA